UCCAGAGACCUCAAGCGUUAUCCGGAAUGAUUGGGCGUAAAGCGUCUGUAGGUGGCUUUUUAAGUCCGCCGUCAAAUCCCAGGGCUCAACCCUGGACAGGCGGUGGAAACUACCAAGCUGGAGUACGGUAGGGGCAGAGGGAAUUUCCGGUGGAGCGGUGAAAUGUGUUGAUAUCGGAAGGAACGCCAGAGGCGAAAGCGGCACACUGGGUCUCAACUGACGCUGAGGCACGAAAGCCAGGGGAGCAAACGGG
RNAcentral lists this ribosomal RNA (253 nucleotides) under uncultured bacterium. RNAcentral's name for it is "partial 16S ribosomal RNA". It matches the Rfam family "Bacterial small subunit ribosomal RNA", at positions 524 to 776 of the family's 1533-position model. The record is from RNAcentral.